This is a long non-coding RNA of Engraulis encrasicolus (European anchovy), 328 nucleotides long. RefSeq lists it as uncharacterized. The transcript has 3 exons. Lineage: Eukaryota; Metazoa; Chordata; Actinopteri; Clupeiformes; Engraulidae. The record is from RefSeq and is a predicted model, not a curated record.
AUAGGAAAGAGUUGUGUAUAUCCCAUUGGCAUACGUGGGCAAGGGGCGGGGUCUAUUUUCCGUGUCAUGGCUCCUCCCUGUAGACUUCAAGAAGUUCCAUAUCCGGAAGUGGGCCCCGUAGACUUUCGUUUGACUGUCGACACCUUUCUCGGUGUGUCAUAUUCACUCAUCAUUGACUGAUGACCCCUGAACAGAUUUCCGGCCCUUCUUCAUACAGCUUGUCUUCCACCUUCACAGUCAUGCUGUGUCAUAUUCACUCAUCAUUGACUGAUGACCCCUGAACAGAUUUCCGGCCCUUCUUCAUACACCUUGUCUUCCACCUUCACAG